AUACGGAGGGUGCAAGCGUUACUCGGAAUCACUGGGCGUAAAGCGCGCGCAGGCGGUCUUUUAAGUUGGAUGUGAAAGCCUACGGCUCAACCGUAGAACUGCAUCCAAAACUAUUAGACUAGAGUGUGGGAGAGGAAGAUGGAGUUAGUUGUGUAGGGGUAAAAUCCGUAGAGAUAACUAGGAAUACCAAAAGCGAAGGCAAUCUUCUGGAACACUACUGACGCUGAGGCGCGAAAGCGUGGGGAGCAAACAGGAUUAGAAACCCUAGUAGUCC
RNAcentral lists this ribosomal RNA (274 nucleotides) under uncultured bacterium. RNAcentral describes it as "partial 16S ribosomal RNA". It matches the Rfam family "Bacterial small subunit ribosomal RNA", at positions 523 to 796 of the family's 1533-position model. The record is from RNAcentral.